Molecule: ribosomal RNA, 301 nt
Filed under: uncultured bacterium
Lineage: Bacteria
Description: partial 16S ribosomal RNA
Rfam family: Bacterial small subunit ribosomal RNA
Source: RNAcentral
CAGUAGCCACGGGAAUACGUAGGUGGCAAGCGUUGUCCGGAAUUAUUGGGCGUAAAGGGCUCGCAGGCGGUUUCUUAAGUCUGAUGUGAAAGCCCCCGGCUCAACCGGGGAGGGUCAUUGGAAACUGGGAAACUUGAGUGCAGAAGAGGAGAGUGGAAUUCCACGUGUAGCGGUGAAAUGCGUAGAGAUGUGGAGGAACACCAGUGGCGAAGGCGACUCUCUGGUCUGUAACUGACGCUGAGGAGCGAAAGCGUGGGGAGCGAGCAGGAUUAGAUACCCCCGUAGUCCCUGUCUCUUAUAC